UACGGGGGGGGUAAGCGUUGUUCGGAAUUACUGGGCGUAAAGGGCUCGUAGGCGGCCAACUAAGUCAUACGUGAAAUCCCUCAGCUUAACUGGGGAACUGCGUGUGAUACUGGAUGGCUUGGAUUUGGGAGAGGGAUGCGGAAUUCCAGGUGUAGCGGUGAAAUGCGUAGAUAUCUGGAGGAAUACCGGUGGCGAAGGCGGCAUCCUGGACCGGCAUUGACGCUGAGGAGCGAAAGCCAGGGGAGCAAACGGG
Molecule: ribosomal RNA, 253 nt
Filed under: uncultured bacterium
Lineage: Bacteria
Description: partial 16S ribosomal RNA
Rfam family: Bacterial small subunit ribosomal RNA
Source: RNAcentral